AUUGAACGCUGGCGGUAUGCCUAACACAUGCAAGUCGAACGGCAACACAGUAUGAGCUUCUUCCUAGGGGUGGACAGUGGCGUAAGAGAUCGGAAUACAUCCGAAUCUAGGUUUUAAUGGGGGGAAACCUAGGCAAACACACCCUACGACCUCAUACGGACUACGGGGGAAAUCAGGGCAUCUUCCGACCUUGCCCGACUGAAGGAGCCGAUGUCGGAUUAGGUAGUUGGCGGGGUAAAGGCCCACCAAGGCGACGAUCCGUAGCUGGUCUGAGAGGAUGAUCAGCCACACUGGGACUGAGACACGGUCCAGACUCCUACGGGAGGCAGCAGUGGGGAAUAUUGGACAAUGGGCGAAAGCCUGAUCCAGCCAUGCCGCGUGCAUGAUGAAGGCCUUCGGGUUGUAAAGUGCUUUUGUUCGGAAAGAAAAGCCUCAGGUUAAUACAGAGCUGUUAUGACGGUACCCUAAGAAUAAGCACCGGCUAACUUCGUG
This 492-nucleotide ribosomal RNA is filed under the name uncultured bacterium. RNAcentral's name for it is "partial 16S ribosomal RNA". It matches the Rfam family "Bacterial small subunit ribosomal RNA", at positions 30 to 507 of the family's 1533-position model. The record is from RNAcentral.